UACGUAGGGGGCUAGCGUUGUCCGGAUUUAUUGGGCGUAAAGAGCGUGUAGGCGGCCAGGCAGGUCUGUUGUGAAAACUGGAGGCUUAACCUCCAGACGUCGACAGAAACCGCUUGGCUAGAGUCCGGAAGAGGAGAGUGGAAUUCCUGGUGUAGCGGUGAAAUGCGCAGAUAUCAGGAAGAACACCAAUGGCGAAGGCAGCUCUCUGGGACGGUACUGACGCUGAGACGCGAAAGCGUGGGGAGCGAACAGG
Molecule: ribosomal RNA, 253 nt
Filed under: uncultured bacterium
Lineage: Bacteria
Description: partial 16S ribosomal RNA
Rfam family: Bacterial small subunit ribosomal RNA
Source: RNAcentral